Molecule: long non-coding RNA, 716 nt
Organism: Haliotis rubra (blacklip abalone)
Lineage: Eukaryota; Metazoa; Mollusca; Gastropoda; Lepetellida; Haliotidae
Exons: 3
Source: RefSeq, a predicted model, not a curated record
GUCAAGUGGGUAUCUUCAUGAUAUCUGCAGGUAUUCUGUCUCACCUGUGUGUUUGAUGUACCAGUGCCUUGUUCUUGAAUCAGUAUGGAAUUCAGAAAGGAACUACCUGUAUUUCGUGAAUGAGAUAAAUAUGAAGAUUCAAACAAACAUCGAUUGCCUUUCUCUUGGGAAUCAGUCGUAACAGUGUGACCAGGGGAUAGAGUUGGGACACCUUGUCACCAGAAGCGUCAAAGAGAGUCCUCAUUGCACUUAAUUGAAAAUGACCUGUCGCCAAGUCCUCUGGUCCGUCUUGCUUCUAGCCACAUGCAUGUGGUCAAUCAGGUGUUCGCUGCUUCCCUUCGAUGGUCACACACCUACCCCCGAAACGGAUGACGGUUCCAGCCCCUCCCUCAGUCUUCAGCCGCCUUUCACAUUUUAUGGAACUGCCUACAGUACUGCUUAUGUGAACAAUGAUGGCUCUGUGACAUUCCUUAAGGCCGAAACAUUUCAGAAUACGAUCGGUGACCCCGGAAAUACUCCAGCAGUGUGCGCUCUUUGCUGUGACAUAGAUGUAUCCGGGGGUGGAACCGUCUAUUACGUCAUCAAUACCUCGCUAGCAUUACGACAAACUAUAGCAGAUGACGUAAGGCGAUACCAAGAAUUCCCGGCAGACUAUACCCCAACCUGGGUGCUGCUGGCGACGUGGGCUGACGUCACUACAUUUAACACAAUGGACA